GACGAACGCUGGCGGCGUGCCUAAUACAUGCAAGUAGAACGCUGAAGAGAGGAGCUUGCUCUUCUUGGAUGAGUUGCGAACGGGUGAGUAACGCGUAGGUAACCUGCCUUGUAGCGGGGGAUAACUAUUGGAAACGAUAGCUAAUACCGCAUAACAAUGGAUGACACAUGUCAUUUAUUUGAAAGGGGCAAUUGCUCCACUACAAGAUGGACCUGCGUUGUAUUAGCUAGUAGGUGAGGUAACGGCUCACCUAGGCGACGAUACAUAGCCGACCUGAGAGGGUGAUCGGCCACACUGGGACUGAGACACGGCCCAGACUCCUACGGGAGGCAGCAGUAGGGAAUCUUCGGCAAUGGGGGCAACCCUGACCGAGCAACGCCGCGUGAGUGAAGAAGGUUUUCGGAUCGUAAAGCUCUGUUGUAAGUCAAGAACAAGUGUGAGAGUGGAAAGUUCACACUGUGACGGUAGCUUACCAGAAAGGGACGGCUAACUACGUGCCAGCAGCCGCGGUAAUACGUAGGUCCCGAGCGUUGUCCGGAUUUAUUGGGCGUAAAGCGAGCGCAGGCGGUUUGAUAAGUCUGAAGUUAAAGGCUGUGGCUCAACCAUAGUUCGCUUUGGAAACUGUCAAACUUGAGUGCAGAAGGGGAGAGUGGAAUUCCAUGUGUAGCGGUGAAAUGCGUAGAUAUAUGGAGGAACACCGGUGGCGAAAGCGGCUCUCUGGUCUGUAACUGACGCUGAGGCUCGAAAGCGUGGGGAGCGAACAGG
RNAcentral lists this ribosomal RNA (765 nucleotides) under uncultured Streptococcus sp. Its description in RNAcentral is "bacterial SSU rRNA". It matches the Rfam family "Bacterial small subunit ribosomal RNA", at positions 28 to 776 of the family's 1533-position model. Lineage: Bacteria; Bacillati; Bacillota; Bacilli; Lactobacillales; Streptococcaceae. The record is from RNAcentral.